ACAACUUUCAGCAACGGAUCUCUUGGCUCUCGCAUCGAUGAAGAACGCAGCGAAAUGCGAUAAGUAAUGUGAAUUGCAGAAUUCAGUGAAUCAUCGAAUCUUUGAACGCACCUUGCGCCCCUUGGAUAUUCCUUGGGGCAUGCCUGUUUGAGUAUCAUGAACACCUCAACUCUCAUGGUUUUCUGUGAUGANUUUGGACUUUGGGGGUUUGCUGGCCCUGUGGCCGGCUCCUCUCAAAUGAAUUANCUUGCCAGUGUUUGGUGGCGUCACGGGUGUGAUAACUAUCUACGUUCGUGGCCGUCUGCCAGGUAACCCUCAGCAAUGAAGGUUCAUUGGGGCUCACAAAUGUCUCUUCUUGUGGGGACAACUUUUGAACGUUUGAUCUCAAAUCAGGUAGGACUACCCGCUGAACUUAAGCAUAUCAAUAAGCGGA
RNAcentral lists this ribosomal RNA (433 nucleotides) under uncultured Thelephoraceae. RNAcentral's name for it is "eukaryotic LSU rRNA". The stretch from base 3 to 157 matches the Rfam family "5.8S ribosomal RNA". The record is from RNAcentral. Lineage: Eukaryota; Fungi; Basidiomycota; Agaricomycetes; Thelephorales; Thelephoraceae.